UACGUAGGGUGCGAGCGUUGCCCGGAUUUAUUGGGCGUAAAGGGCGCGUAGGCGGCUCGGCACGUCCGUUGUGAAAUCGCCCGGCUCAACUGGGCGGGGUCAGCGGAUACGGUCGAGCUUGAGCAAGCUAGGGGGCAAUGGAAUUCCAGGUGUAGCGGUGAAAUGCGUAGAUAUCUGGAGGAACACCGGUGGCGAAGGCGGCAUCCUGGACCAAUUCUGACGCUGAGGAGCGAAAGCCAGGGGAGCAAACGGG
RNAcentral lists this ribosomal RNA (253 nucleotides) under uncultured bacterium. RNAcentral describes it as "partial 16S ribosomal RNA". It matches the Rfam family "Bacterial small subunit ribosomal RNA", at positions 524 to 776 of the family's 1533-position model. The record is from RNAcentral.